This 389-nucleotide ribosomal RNA is filed under the name Syndiniales sp. RNAcentral's name for it is "partial small subunit ribosomal RNA". It matches the Rfam family "Eukaryotic small subunit ribosomal RNA", at positions 582 to 975 of the family's 1831-position model. Lineage: Eukaryota; Dinophyceae; Syndiniales. The record is from RNAcentral.
AUUCCAGCUCCAAUAGCGUAUAUUAAAGUUGUUGCGGUUAAAAAGCUCGUAGUUGGAGUUCUGCCAGGUGGCGCUCGUCCGCCCAAGUGGUGUGUACAGGGCGUGCAUCUGGCCCUUUCAAGGGGAACGUGUCUGCACUUCAUUGUGUGGUGCGAGAUCCUUGACUUUUACUUUGAGGAAAUAAGAGUGUUCCAAGCAGGCUCUCGUCGUGCAUAGCUCAGCAUGGAAUAAUAGCAUUGGACUUCGUUUCUACGCUGUUGGUUGCAAGAAGCGAGGUAAUGAUGAAGAGAGACGGACGAGGGCAUUCGUAUUACGGCGCUAGAGGUGAAAUUCUUGGAUCGCCGUAAGACGAACUACCGCGAAAGCAUUUGCCAAGAAUGUUUUCAUUG